GUAUACUUUCUGAUGAUCCUGUCACGAUUCCUUACCUUGGCUCCCAGGACUUGUAGGAAUUGCUCCUCUGCUCUAAUUCUUCAUUCUGCUGAGUACCCCCAUACCUUUGCUGAAGACCCUGCUCUUGCUGAAUAGCCCCCCACCCCAAUACAGCAGUACAUUAUAGGAUUUUAAGUAUCAAUCAACCCAAAACACAUGUAACUUUCUCUUUGUACUGAGGCCUGCCUGCCAUUGCCUCUCUGUGAACCCUGCCAAUGGCCCACUAUAACAUCAGUUUCUCUCCAUUCUCAUGUGCCAUUGUGGUCUCUUUCUUAGAUGCCAUGACUUCAGUUCUAAAAUAAGGCUUGUUCAGUCUGGGCAAAUUCUUACUUCCCUAGCAGCGUCUCCCUACUCAAUCCUGAAUUGUUUAGGAGGAUCACCUGAGUCUGUGGAGAAGCUUUUUGGGGAAUGCAGGUGGCUGCAGGGGAGUCAGAGGGGACAGGAAACUUUUAUUCCCUGUUCGUUAAAUUGACUUAUCGUAGGAUCCCAGCCUAUAUACUUAUAAUUGUUCAUUGAGGGAAGCUUGCAUUAUCAAUUUUAGAUUCCCCCCUCAGUCCAGAACUGAAUUAAGAUGGAUGAAUAUGUGAUAUCACAGUCUGUGAACAAUUCCCAUUUUUAAGGGCCAAGUACUGGCCUAUAACAUGGGCACAUGUUUGAACUGUUUUUAAGAUUAGGGUAACACAAAUGUAUCUAAAUUCAUGUGACUGACAAAAUUAACUUGUGUGAAAAGCUGAUUGUGACCUUCAAUGUUAUCAAAUACCUGGAAAAAAUGCUUACAAUUUUGGGUAAUUAUUAUUUUUAAUAGAAUUCUACAACUGGGUAUAGUGCAAGAAGGAUGUUACACUUAUUUCAGCACCAAUUUGGCAGCAAUCCUAACAUUUACCCAUGAGUAAGCCCCAUUCAACUCAGUGCUACAUCCUUUUCAGUAGACAUGCAUGAGAUUGCCAUGUUAGUUUGGACUAGCUUUAAGCAUUAGUGAGUUCCUGGUUGUUGUUGUUAUUAUUAUGAUAUUAUUUAUACCUCGCCCAUCUGGCUGGGUGUCCCCAGCCACUCUGAGCUGCUCUUAAUUGCAUGUUCAGUUUUGUAUUCCUGUUUUUGGGGGACAGGGGCUGAGUUGAAAAUCCAUGUUCUCAUCACUACACAGUCAGUAAAAUUUACCAUUGUAAAUAAUUGUUAGAAUUGCCUGCUAUUGGGUGCUUUAAGCCUGCUAAAUAUAUAUAAAUAAUCUGACCUUUAAAGCAUUAUAAUACAGAAAUAUUUCUGUAAUGAUAAAUGUGAUUUAAAAGGAUAGGGACUUGUCCUCUUUUAGAUAGGCAUAUUUUUUAAAGUAGGCAUUCAAUCCUUAUGAGAAGUGUUGAGUUGUGACAGCCAUACAAGAUGGAUUCCUGUAUUUAUCUGCGAAAGGGGCACAGCACAGGCAGCUGCAGUACAUGCUUCCCGAGCAAUGAGCCUGAACUCUGACCUAGAGAUAUCACCUCUGUGAGAUGAGUCUUCAUGCCCAUUCAAUCCUUGACCCUUCUGCUUCAGACUACCAUUGACUUGGCCAAUUUAUGAUGGGGACCCAGCGCUGUUCGUUUCAUAUCUAUUGCCAGACUUGCUUUGAAUGGUAAUGACCUGGUGAUAACCUGAACGCAGAGAGUCAAGCCAGUGUCCUAGAGGUGAAAGGCUGUCAUUGCAACAUUUAUCAUACACACCACACGUGCUUCCCUGUGGAUAUGUUCACAUGUAUUAAAACCGUUUUCUUUGUGAAUGUCUGUUGCUUUUCAUGUCUAAAGAAGAAAUAAAACACAGAAAAGCAGGAAUGAGACAGUCUUUCUUAACAUUUUUUCUUCUUGUGCAGAGUUCUAGAAUAUAGACCUUGCAGGCAUUUUCAGUAUGACUCUUACUGAUUUAUAUCAAAAAAGCAUGGAGGUCUCUUGGUUGACCCUCCCUGUACAUAGUAUCCUUUAUUCCCAUUAGGGUGAAAGAGAGCCAGCUAAUGCAUUCAAGAUUCACCCCCUCCCCAUUUUUCCAUUAUUAAUUAAUUCUAACUCAGUCACUUUCGCUAAAGCUUUAAUGGUGUCAAGGCCCUUUCCUCCCCCAUUCCUUUCCAAAGGAUUUGAAUAACAUUGCUCAUUUAGAGCCUGUCUUAACCUCUGUAUGGUUGGGCAAUUUGAAUUCUUAUUCUUUCUUCCCCCCUUUUUCCCUCUAUUCACUCUUCCAGUUGUUUAAUGCUGAUUCAGCCAUGCAUUACCAGUCAACCUUUAUGUAUAAAUUCCAUAAUAAAUUAAAUAAAGCUCUGUGUGGGUCAGCUUAGGCUAGCCCGAUUAAAAAAUGAUUUACUAAAGAGACACAGAGAGAGGGACAGUAGAAUGUGCUUCUAAAUCAAUUAUGAGUCCAUUCACUGUCAGCCUGUUGUACAUAAUAGUGUAUUAAAGUGCAUUCUAUAGUGUAAAAAAAAUUGACUCUUUCGUUGAAAGUGAAUUAAUAUUUGCAAGUGCAUAAUAAUGUUUGAAAAGCUAUAAACAUUCGAAUUUAAUCCCUCAUUUCAGGCUAAGUAUAUACAGCAUGAAUUAUAAUAUCCAGAUGAAUCUUUAUGUUGUGCUUAUGUCAUUUUUAUAGCAAGAUCCCCACAAUGCAAAAAGUGAAUCUGGGGUGGUGGCUAUUCUUAUAAGACUGAACAUCAAGGGGAGAAAUGGGGCCACUGAACUAUGAAAAUAAAAUUGAUUUCAAAGUUCAGUUCCGCAUAUAAAAUGAUAGUUGUGUUGGCAAAUUAUUACAUACCGUCUUCUGUUUAGCAUAAGUGUAUUGCCCUUAGGAUAUACUGCUGUGGCCACUAAAGGAAUAUUGAAUUGGUCUGGUGGAAGUAGAAUAAAUAAUGAUUUUUAAAGAUACAGUCUCACUAUGGCAUGUAGGCACUAUUAAAAGAAGUGUUUCCAAUUAUCCCAUCUGGGCAGAAAGGUGGCAAGUGAUACUAAUGCUUCAUGGUUAAUUCUCACAAUUUAUUUCUAUUCAAAUUAUUAUUCUAUGCUUAAUAUUGGAUAGCUAAAUGUUUGAAUGGACAGCAAAAACCACUUCUUUUAAGGUGGUGUGAUACAAAAAUAAAAUGUUUACGUUGAACUUAGUGGUAAGAACAUUUGCGCCUACAAGUUUGAUUGCAGUCAUCAGGUAAGGACCAUGGUGGAAUCUGCACACAUGUUAAAAAAUGUUGUGAAAAUGCUUUUUUUAAAAAAAAAAUAAGUUUUUAAAAAAUGCAUUGAAUUUGCUAUAGCUCAACAGUCGUCAUCUAGUGUCACAGUUGUAUAUAGCACUUUACAACACAUUCGAAACGUUUUAUUGGCAGCUGUAUAGCUGAGUCCCACAUCAGCCCUUUGCUGAUUAUGUAUGGAAAAGUUUAUCUUAAUUGGGGUAAUUAUUUUGUGAAAAAUUGCCAGAUAUCUCACAUGAUUAUUUAAAUCAGAGUUGAGUAAUCUUUUUUUCUGUUGAGGGCCACUUCCCCUCAACUGUAGCGUGACAGAACUAAUGGUGUUCUGGAUUACAGAGUAAAAGAUUGUCCUGCUUUUUCACCAUGACUUCCUCAGUUUUGAAUUCCCAACCCUAUGCAGGUCUACUCUGAGUAAACCCUACUGGGUUUGAUGGGGUUACUCUUGGAUAAAUAUUCAGGAUCAUUAUUUUUUAAAUCAGCACAGCAGAGCUGUGCAGGUGCUGAUCUUAAAGGCAAUUUCUGACUUUAGGUACACACACACACACACACACACACACACACACACACGGGAAGUCUCCCAAUUUGUUCUCCAAAAGGAAAAACUUUUUUAAAAAACAAAACAUUUUUAUC
Podarcis lilfordi (Lilford's wall lizard) is the source of this 3853-nucleotide non-coding RNA. Lineage: Eukaryota; Metazoa; Chordata; Lepidosauria; Squamata; Lacertidae. The record is from the annotation of a GenBank genome assembly.